RNAcentral lists this ribosomal RNA (261 nucleotides) under uncultured bacterium. RNAcentral's name for it is "partial 16S ribosomal RNA". It matches the Rfam family "Bacterial small subunit ribosomal RNA", at positions 46 to 334 of the family's 1533-position model. The record is from RNAcentral.
AGGCCUAAUACAUGCAAGUCGAACGCACCUUCGGGUGAGUGGCGGACGGGUGAGUAACACGUGGGAACGUGCCCUUUGGUUCGGAAUAAUCCGGGGAAACCUGGCCUAAUACCGAAUGUGCCCUAGCGGGGGAAAGAUUUAUCGCCAUUGGAGCGGCCCGCGUCUGAUUAGCUAGUUGGUGGGGUAAUGGCCCACCAAGGCGACGAUCAGUAGCUGGUCUGAGAGGAUGAUCAGCCACACUGGGACUGAGACACGGCCCAG